This 322-nucleotide ribosomal RNA is filed under the name Escherichia coli. Its description in RNAcentral is "bacterial LSU rRNA". It matches the Rfam family "Bacterial large subunit ribosomal RNA", at positions 719 to 1041 of the family's 2925-position model. The record is from RNAcentral. Lineage: Bacteria; Pseudomonadati; Pseudomonadota; Gammaproteobacteria; Enterobacterales; Enterobacteriaceae.
AACCCGGUGAUCUAGCCAUGGGCAGGUUGAAGGUUGGGUAACACUAACUGGAGGACCGAACCGACUAAUGUUGAAAAAUUAGCGGAUGACUUGUGGCUGGGGGUGAAAGGCCAAUCAAACCGGGAGAUAGCUGGUUCUCCCCGAAAGCUAUUUAGGUAGCGCCUCGUGAAUUCAUCUCCGGGGGUAGAGCACUGUUUCGGCAAGGGGGUCAUCCCGACUUACCAACCCGGUGAUCUAGCCAUGGGCAGGUUGAAGGUUGGGUAACACUAACUGGAGGACCGAACCGACUAAUGUUGAAAAAUUAGCGGAUGACUUGUGGCUG